Molecule: ribosomal RNA, 468 nt
Filed under: uncultured bacterium
Lineage: Bacteria
Description: partial 16S ribosomal RNA
Rfam family: Bacterial small subunit ribosomal RNA
Source: RNAcentral
GACGAACGCUGGCGGCGUGCUUAACACAUGCAAGUCGAACGGAAAGGCCCUGCUUUUGUGGGGUGCUCGAGUGGCGAACGGGUGAGUAACACGUGUGUAACCUGCCCUUGACUUUGGGAUAACUUCAGGAAACUGGGGCUAAUACCGGAUAGGAGCUCCUGCUGCAUGGUGGGGGUUGGAAAGUUUCGGCGGUUGGGGAUGGACUCGCGGCUUAUCAGCUUGUUGGUGGGGUAGUGGCUUACCAAGGCUUUGACGGGUAGCCGGCCUGAGAGGGUGUCCGGCCACAUUGGGACUGAGAUACGGCCCAGACUCCUACGGGAGGCAGCAGUGGGGAAUAUUGCACAAUGGGCGGAAGCCUGAUGCAGCAACGCCGCGUGCGGGAUGACGGCCUUCGGGUUGUAAACCGCUUUCGCCUGUGACGAAGCGUGAGUGACGGUAAUGGGUAAAGAAGCACCGGCUAACUACGUG